Molecule: long non-coding RNA, 533 nt
Organism: Phragmites australis (common reed)
Lineage: Eukaryota; Viridiplantae; Streptophyta; Magnoliopsida; Poales; Poaceae
Exons: 2
Source: RefSeq, a predicted model, not a curated record
CUUAUCCCUUCCCCCUGUUGCACGAUGCAGCUAGCAUCGUCCUUUUCUCCGAGGAAUUGGGAUUUUUCCCACCGGAACGAGUGGAUUUCGCAUAUUUACCAUUCACAUAAUAUUGACUUCGCACAAUUGCCAUCCAGAAUGUUGUCUCCUUAAUUUUCUUGCCAUUCUACAAUUUCAAUUACUUUUCCUUUUCUUUUCUCAUACCAGGCCAUGUACAAAGUCAGUUUUUGCCCCUGCUCGCUCCGGUUUCGCAUGGGAAAGAGAAGGCAAUGACGACUUCGAGCACGGCAAGCGGUGGCAUUGCAAACCUGUGUGCACACGACGCAGCAUCUCCGACCAAGCGCUUGAGUUUGGGUAGAGGAGGCGCCAUAAACCCCAACCCGAAAGAUGUCUCUGCGGGUCAAUUUAUUGAUGUAUCCCCUUAACUGGUGUUGCUGCUUUUUUGUCUCAUGGAUCAGUAAGGCGCCACAUUCCUUUCUUAAUUAAUGCAAAAGGAACACACAGUACUAUUGUUUGUCAAAUAGUGUUCGCAA